AAUGGGCGAAAGCCUGACGCAGCAAUACCGUGUGUGGGAAGACGCUCCGUGGAGUGUAAACCACUGUCAGAUGUGACGAAUUGACUGUAACAUCAGAGGAAGCACCGGCUAACUCCGUGCCAGCAGCCGCGGUAAUACGGAGGGUGCAAGCGUUGUCCGGAUUUAUUGGGCGUAAAGAGUUUGUAGGUUGCUUUGCAAGUCUGAGGCGAAAGAAUGGAGCUCAACUCCAUCCUCGCCCCGAAACUGUGAAGCUAGAGAGUACUAGGGGUGAAUGGAAUUUCCAGUGUAGCGGUGAAAUGCGUAGAUAUUGGAAAGAACACCAGAGGCGAAGGCGGUUCACUGGGUACUUCUGACACUGAGAAACGAAAGCUAGGGUAGCGAAAGGGAUU
Molecule: ribosomal RNA, 389 nt
Filed under: uncultured cyanobacterium
Lineage: Bacteria; Bacillati; Cyanobacteriota
Description: bacterial SSU rRNA
Rfam family: Bacterial small subunit ribosomal RNA
Source: RNAcentral